UACGGGGGAUGCAAGCGUUAUCCGGAAUCAUUGGGCGUAAAGCGUCUGUAGGUUGUUUAAUAAGUCUGUUGUUAAAGACUAGGGCUCAACCCUAGAAAAGCAAUGGAAACUACUAGACUUGAGUAUGGCAGGGGUAGAGGGAAUUUCUAGUGUAGCGGUGAAAUGCGUAGAUAUUAGAAAGAACACCAGCGGCGAAAGCGCUCUACUGGACCAUUACUGACACUCAGAGGCGAAAGCUAGGGUAGCAAAAGGGAUUAGAUACCCCUGUAGUCCUAGCCGUAAACGAUGGAUACUAGAUGUUGUGCAUAAUGUACAGUAUCGUAGCUAACGCGUUAAGUAUCCCGCCUGGGGAGUACGGUCGCAAGGCUA
Molecule: ribosomal RNA, 369 nt
Filed under: uncultured phototrophic eukaryote
Lineage: Eukaryota
Description: SSU rRNA
Rfam family: Bacterial small subunit ribosomal RNA
Source: RNAcentral